UGCAAGUCGAGCGGAUGAAGGGAGCUUGCUCCUGGAUUCAGCGGCGGACGGGUGAGUAAUGCCUAGGAAUCUGCCUGGUAGUGGGGGACAACGUUUCGAAAGGAACGCUAAUACCGCAUACGUCCUACGGGAGAAAGCAGGGGACCUUCGGGCCUUGCGCUAUCAGAUGAGCCUAGGUCGGAUUAGCUAGUUGGUGAGGUAAUGGCUCACCAAGGCGACGAUCCGUAACUGGUCUGAGAGGAUGAUCAGUCACACUGGAACUGAGACACGGUCCAGACUCCUACGGGAGGCAGCAGUGGGGAAUAUUGGACAAUGGGCGAAAGCCUGAUCCAGCCAUGCCGCGUGUGUGAAGAAGGUCUUCGGAUUGUAAAGCACUUUAAGUUGGGAGGAAGGGUUGUAGAUUAAUACUCUGCAAUUUUGACGUUACCGACAGAAUAAGCACCGGCUAACUCUGUGCCAGCAGCCGCGGUAAUACAGAGGGUGCAAGCGUUAAUCGGAAUUACUGGGCGUAAAGCGCGCGUAGGUGGUUCGUUAAGUUGGAUGUGAAAUCCCCGGGCUCAACCUGGGAACUGCAUCCAAAACUGGCGAGCUAGAGUAUGGUAGAGGGUGGUGGAAUUUCCUGUGUAGCGGUGAAAUGCGUAGAUAUAGGAAGGAACACCAGUGGCGAAGGCGACCACCUGGACUGAUACUGACACUGAGGUGCGAAAGCGUGGGGAGCAAACAGGAUU
RNAcentral lists this ribosomal RNA (728 nucleotides) under Pseudomonas sp. RNAcentral describes it as "bacterial SSU rRNA". It matches the Rfam family "Bacterial small subunit ribosomal RNA", at positions 56 to 779 of the family's 1533-position model. The record is from RNAcentral. Lineage: Bacteria; Pseudomonadati; Pseudomonadota; Gammaproteobacteria; Pseudomonadales; Pseudomonadaceae.